GAUUAUUGAAGAUGUGGUGUUGAAUGAGUUUUAUAAGCUAUCUUAACAUGUCAACAUAUUACGAUGAUACAUGAAGUGAUUGGAUAUAAUUGUCAUAGAAGAUGAAGCAGUGCUUGUACUAGUUCUGACGUCAAUACAGGAAGUAGUACAAGAAGGUGAGUUGUGCGAAUACUUGAAGUAGUACAGGAGGCAGUACAAGAAGCCGAGCUGUGUGACUACUUGAAGAGUUGGAGAACAUAAGCUUGGGACCGACUUGGACAAGCCAAGUGGCGGUUGCUGAGCUGGAUGAACAUCUUGAAUAGUACAUUCAAGAUGAGAACGAAGAACAAAGGAAAUUAGUCAAUUCCUAUUUGGUGAAUGAAUAGGAAAAUUGUCAAUCUUUAGGGUUGAGCAAUUGUUAUAAAUACCA
This 409-nucleotide long non-coding RNA is filed under the name Capsella grandiflora. RNAcentral's name for it is "long non-coding RNA (CGRA_LNC001202)". Lineage: Eukaryota; Viridiplantae; Streptophyta; Magnoliopsida; Brassicales; Brassicaceae. The record is from RNAcentral.